UGGGGUAUAUUGCACAAUGGGCGAAAGCCUGAUGCAGCGACGCCGCGUGGGGGAUGAAGGCCUUCGGGUUGUAAACUUCUUUUGCUCUGAACAAGGCAUGCUAAUGGGUGUGUUGAGUGUAGGGGUUGAUUAGCGCCGGCUAACUACGUGCCAGCAGCCGCGGUAAUACGUAGGGCGCGAGCGGUGUCCGGAAUUAUUGGGUGUAAAGGGCUUGUAGGUGGCUGGUUGCGUCUGUCGUGAAAGAUCAUGGGUUAACGGUGGGUUUGCGGUGGGUACGGGCUGGCUUGAGUGCAGUAGGGGAGGCUGGAAUUCCUGGUGUAGCGGGGGGAUGCGCAGAUAUCAGGAGGAAUACCGGUGGCGAAGGCGGGUCUCUGGGCUGUUACUGACACUGAGGAGCGAAAGCAUGGGGGGCGAACAGG
This 419-nucleotide ribosomal RNA is filed under the name bacterium. Its description in RNAcentral is "partial 16S ribosomal RNA". It matches the Rfam family "Bacterial small subunit ribosomal RNA", at positions 355 to 776 of the family's 1533-position model. The record is from RNAcentral.